AUGCGAUUUUUAAGAAUGAUAUGUUCUAUGUUUAUGGGAUAUUUAGUACAAAUGGGAUGAAAAUUAAAGAAAUUGAAGCAUACUGGCACUUUUGCAUGCAUUUUGACAGGCAUGCAAAGAAAUUUGCAACAGAUGCCGGGAGAUACGUUGGGUGGGGGCGACAUUCUGUAAGGUUCCAGCACAACGGGUGGGAAAUUUGUCUGAGCAUGCGCGAGUAAAAUGAGCCACGCAAUUGCAUGGAAUACACGCAACGUGUGCUCUUCCGAUCUCACAAUCGUGUAAAUAUUGCCAAAUGUUUG
This is a non-coding RNA of Paramuricea clavata, 299 nucleotides long. NCBI's taxonomy places the organism in Eukaryota, Metazoa, Cnidaria, Anthozoa, Malacalcyonacea, Plexauridae. The record is from the annotation of a GenBank genome assembly.